This 90-nucleotide transfer RNA is filed under the name Puccinia sorghi. It matches the Rfam family "tRNA". Rfam says of the family: Transfer RNA (tRNA) molecules are approximately 80 nucleotides in length. Their secondary structure includes four short double-helical elements and three loops (D, anti-codon, and T loops). The record is from Rfam by way of RNAcentral. Lineage: Eukaryota; Fungi; Basidiomycota; Pucciniomycetes; Pucciniales; Pucciniaceae.
GACUUGGUAGCCUAGUUUGUAAAUGCAUCACUUCUAGUAUGUUGUCUCAGCUUCUAGCUAAGGUUGCUGGUUCAAAUCCUGCCCAAGUUA